UACGAGGGGUCCUAGCGUUGUUCGGAAUCAUUGGGCGUAAAGAGCUCGUAGGUGGCUUAGUAAGUCAGGUGUGAAAGCCCAGGGCUCAACCCUGGAAGUGCACUUGAAACUGCAUAGCUUGAGUACGGUAGAGGUAAGCGGAAUUCCUGGUGUAGUGGUGAAAUACGUAGAUAUCAGGAGGAACAUCGGUGGCGAAGGCGGCUUACUGGACCAGUACUGACACUGAGGAGCGAAAGCAUGGGGAUCAAACAGG
Molecule: ribosomal RNA, 253 nt
Filed under: uncultured bacterium
Lineage: Bacteria
Description: partial 16S ribosomal RNA
Rfam family: Bacterial small subunit ribosomal RNA
Source: RNAcentral